GUAGGUGGCAAGCGUUGUCCGGAAUUAUUGGGCGUAAAGCGCGCGCAGGCGGUUCUUUAAGUCUGAUGUGAAAGCCCACGGCUCAACCGUGGAGGGUCAUUGGAAACUGGAGAACUUGAGUACAGAAGAGGAAAGCGGAAUUCCACGUGUAGCGGUGAAAUGCGUAGAGAUGUGGAGGAACACCAGUGGCGAAGGCGGCUUUCUGGUCUGUAACUGACGCUGGAGGCGACGAAAGCGGUGGGGAGACAAACGAGGGAUUAGACUACCCGUGGUAGUCCACGCCGUAAACGAUGAGUGCUAAGUGGUUAGGGGGUUUCCCGCCCCUUAGUGCUGCAGCUAACGCAUUAAGCACUCCGCCGUGGGGAGUACGGCCGCAAGGCUAG
RNAcentral lists this ribosomal RNA (383 nucleotides) under uncultured organism. RNAcentral describes it as "partial 16S ribosomal RNA". It matches the Rfam family "Bacterial small subunit ribosomal RNA", at positions 527 to 897 of the family's 1533-position model. The record is from RNAcentral.